UAGGUUGAUGCUCGCUGGUUUGAGCGGCUAGCUGUUAACUAGUUUUUGUGGGAUCGAGGCCCACCGGUCUUG
This 72-nucleotide transfer RNA is filed under the name Leiolepis reevesii (Reeves' butterfly lizard). RNAcentral's name for it is "tRNA-Asn". It matches the Rfam family "tRNA". From Rfam's summary of the family: Transfer RNA (tRNA) molecules are approximately 80 nucleotides in length. The record is from RNAcentral. Lineage: Eukaryota; Metazoa; Chordata; Lepidosauria; Squamata; Agamidae.